AGUCGGCAAGAGGCUUCAGUCGGCAGACUUAAACCAAAGUCAUGCAGAUAUUUACAGAGUGCUGCAGAGGGCAGAUAGGAAUACAAAGGGAAUUUCAUACAAUAAUGCUAAAACUUUAUUUAAUUAAAAGCUUCUUGUUAAACCUAACCAAAUUCUGUCCCCUGUUACUUACAUUAAGAUGAAGUGAAACCUUUCCCUCUGUUCACAUGGGCACCUGAAAACUUACUGUAAGAGCACACAGAGCUAUAUUUGAAUUUACAUGAUGGCCAAGCUGUCUGUAUUGUGUCAAAGAGGUAUCAGCUGAAGUUUGAGGCUUGGCUGUACUUUUGAGUAAUACCACGUUUGACCUCAAGAUGGUGCAGUGAGUCAGAGACUAAAGCAUAACUAGUCAGGGUAGCUCCCAGUCUGAGACAUACACUGCAUUAGCUCAACAUUUGUACAGAAUUCCCGUCACUAUUAUACCUAGAAGAUGAUCAGAAACUGGUAAGUUAAAAAUAAAAUGAGCAAAUACACAUCGAAAUACUAGAAUAGUUGGAAGUAAUUCGUAACUAAGUUAAAUAAAGAAAUAAUUCAGAUGUAAAUAGGAGGAAAAAUCUGCCAUCUCGUGGUCAAAAUCUUUCAGUUAAUUUAGCAAUUAUAAAAAAACAAAAUAAAAAAACAGCUGUUUCAAUAAUUUAAGCUACUUUUAUAAAGACUGCACUUGUGGCUUGUGAUGGUGUCAUUUGUUGGAAUUAAUACGUGUAAAGAAAACAGCAAAUACAGCACUGUUGUUAUUCAAAACUGUUAAAAUGAUGGGUAACGUUUUCCUUUAAUAUUUUGAGCAAAUGCAGGACACUCUGUAUUGCACCAAAAAUGUAUUAAUACGCAAAGAAAAGCCCAAUUUACUCCCACUUGAUUAAUGUUUGCAAUUAGCUUAACAUCCAGCUGUUAAAGAGAGUUACUGAGAGUUUUACACUAACAAAUCAUUUAUGUGUCACCUGUUAUUUCAGAUUUAUGUCGUCACUGAGUAUGAACAGG
Astatotilapia calliptera (eastern happy) is the source of this 1017-nucleotide long non-coding RNA. The record is from Ensembl. NCBI's taxonomy places the organism in Eukaryota, Metazoa, Chordata, Actinopteri, Cichliformes, Cichlidae.